CGGGGUGCACCAGGCGCGAAAACUUUACAAUGCUGGCAACAGCGAUAAGGGGACCUCGAGUGCCGGGAUACAAUCUUGGCUGUCGUGAUGCCUAAAAAGCAUUACAUAGCAAGGGCCGGGCAAGACCGGUGCCAGCCGCCGCGGUAACACCGGCGGCUCGAGUGGUAACCGCUAUUAUUGGGUCUAAAGGGUCUGUAGCCGGCCGGAUAAGUCUCUUGGGAAAUCCAGCAGCUCAACUGUUGGGCUUCCAGGGGAUACUGUUCGGCUCGAGGCCGGGAGAGGUGAGAGGUACUUCAGGGGUAGGGGUGAAAUCUUGUAAUCCUUGAAGGACCACCAGUGGCGAAGGCGUCUCACCAGAACGGUCCUGACGGCAAGGGACGAAAGCUAGGGGCACGAACCGGAUUAGAUACCCGGGUAGUCCUAGCCGUAAACGAUACUCGCUAGGUGUCAGCCACGGUGCGACCGUGGUUGGUGCCGUAGGGAAGCCGUGAAGCGAGCCACCUGGGAAGUACGGCCGCAAGGCUGAAACUUAAAGGAAUCGGCGGGCGAGCACAAGGGNAAUUCGC
RNAcentral lists this ribosomal RNA (566 nucleotides) under uncultured archaeon. RNAcentral's name for it is "bacterial SSU rRNA". It matches the Rfam family "Archaeal small subunit ribosomal RNA", at positions 326 to 898 of the family's 1478-position model. The record is from RNAcentral.